UGGGGAAUUUUGGACAAUGGGGGAAACCCUGAUCCAGCCAUCCCGCGUGUGCGAUGAAGGCCUUCGGGUUGUAAAGCAUUUUUGGCAGGAAAGAAACGUCGCGGGUUAAUACCCGCGAACUGAACGGUACCUGCAGAAUAAGCACCGGCUAACUACGUGCCAGCAGCCGCGGUAAUACAUAGGGUGCAAGCGUUAAUCGGAAUUACUGGGCGUAAAGCGUGCGCAGGCGGUUCGGAAAGAAAGAUGUGAAAUCCCAGAGCUUAACUUUGGAACUGCAUUUUUAACUACCGGGCUAGAGUGUGUCAGAGGGAGGUGGAAUUCCGCGUGUAGCAGUGAAAUGCGUAGAUAUGCGGAGGAACACCGAUGGCGAAGGCAGCCUCCUGGGAUAACACUGACGCUCAUGCACGAAAGCGUGGGGAGCAAACAGGAUUAGAUACCCUGGUAGUCCACGCCCUAAACGAUGUCAACUAGCUAGUUGAGGCCUUCGGGCCCUUGGUAGCGCAGCUAACGCGUGAAGUUGACCGCCUGGGGAGUACGGUCGCAAGAUU
RNAcentral lists this ribosomal RNA (548 nucleotides) under uncultured bacterium. RNAcentral describes it as "partial 16S ribosomal RNA". It matches the Rfam family "Bacterial small subunit ribosomal RNA", at positions 355 to 895 of the family's 1533-position model. The record is from RNAcentral.